UGUUCCUCUGUGUUAGAGAGUUCUCCUCCUCUCACUGUCCUGUUCCUCUGUGUUAGAGAGGUCUCCUCCUCUCACUGCCCUGGUCCUCUGUGUUAGAGGUCUCCUCCUCUCACUGUCCUGUUCCUCUGUGUUAGAGGUCUCCUCCUCUCACUGCCCUGGUCCUCUGUGUUAGAGAGGUCUCCUCCUCUUACUGUCCUGUUCCUCUGUGUUAGAGAGGUCUCCUCCUCUCACUGCCCUGGUCCUCUGUGUUAGAGAGGUCUCCUCCUCUCACUGUCCUGUUCCUCUGUGUUAGAGAGGUCUCCUCCUCUCACUGUCCUGUUCCUCUGUGUUAGAGAGGUCUCCUCCUCUCACUACCCUGUUCCUCUGUGUUAGAGGUCUCCUCCUCUCACUGCCCUGUUCCUCUGUGUUAGA
Long non-coding RNA from Oncorhynchus tshawytscha (Chinook salmon), 411 nucleotides. Lineage: Eukaryota; Metazoa; Chordata; Actinopteri; Salmoniformes; Salmonidae. The record is from Ensembl.